Molecule: long non-coding RNA, 611 nt
Filed under: Triticum aestivum (bread wheat)
Lineage: Eukaryota; Viridiplantae; Streptophyta; Magnoliopsida; Poales; Poaceae
Description: long non-coding RNA (TAES_LNC016043)
Source: RNAcentral
AAAUCUCACGGCGCAUGAAUUCUAGGCAACUCAUAGACUAGUGCCAGGCAACUCAAAUAGUAUGAUUCUGCCAACUCGUACAGUAUUAUGAGGCAAUUCCCAACCUCGAAGAACUACGAAUCUGGUAAAACAAAACCAUACACUGGAUGUUAAAUCUAACCACCAACCUCACCCGUUGAUCUGAACGGAAAUGGAGACAAAGGGUGCAGUUGGACCUUACCUCCCGAUUUCCACAACAAGUCCACUGCAGCGUCACCAGCGACCUGCGUUCUGCACCAAGCUCCGCCUUCCGCAGACACGCCGCACGCACGCAGCCUCGCGCUCCUCCGACGCACGCACCACCGCAUCCCAUCACUCCUUCAGUCGCGCGUACACCGCAGCCCGGCGCUCCUUUAGCCACGCGUGCGCAGACAACCGAAAGCCAGGCCCUCAACCGAGCGCGCACGCACCACCGAAGCACCCGUCCUCCUCCGUCGCGCGCACACGAGGCCCGCACCACGACCUCCGCUUUCUCCCGUAGCGUGCAUAUGUGGCGAGCGAGGAGGAGAGGAUGUGGAGGGGAUUAGGAAGAGGGCAAGGAGGGCGAGAGAGGAUUGGGAGAGACAGCGGCG